AGAGUUUGAUCCUGGCUCAGGAUGAACGCUGGCGGCGUGCUUAACACAUGCAAGUCGAACGAUCCUUCGGGAUAGUGGCGGACGGGUGAGUAACGCGUGGGAAUCUGCCCUUAGGAGGGGGAUAACGGCUGGAAACGGCCGCUAAUACCCCAUAUGCCGAGAGGUGAAAGGAAAUUCGCCUGAGGAUGAGCCCGCGUCUGAUUAGCUAGUUGGUGGGGUAAAGGCCUACCGAGGCGACGAUCAGUAGCUGGUCUGAGAGGAUGAUCAGCCACACUGGGACUGAGACACGGCCCAGACUCCUACGGGAGGCAGCAGUGGGGAAUUUUCCGCAAUGGGCGAAAGCCUGACGGAGCAACGCCGCGUGGGGGAUGAAGGCCUCUGGGCUGUAAACCCCUUUUCUCAAGGAAGAAGACCUGACGGUACUUGAGGAAUAAGCCACGGCUAAUUCCGUGCCAGCAGCCGCGGUAAUACGGGAGUGGCAAGCGUUAUCCGGAAUUAUUGGGCGUAAAGCGUCCGCAGGCGGCUCUGUAAGUCUGUUGUUAAAGCGUGGAGCUCAACUCCAUUUCAGCAAUGGAAACUACAGGGCUUGAGUGUGGUAGGGGCAGAGGGAAUUCCCGGUGUAGCGGUGAAAUGCGUAGAUAUCGGGAAGAACACCAGUGGCGAAGGCGCUCUGCUGGGCCAUAACUGACGCUCAUGGACGAAAGCCAGGGGAGCGAAAGGGAUUAGAUACCCCUGUAGUCCUGGCCGUAAACGAUGAACACUAGGUGUCGGGGGAAUCGACCCCCUCGGUGUCGUAGCCAACGCGUUAAGUGUUCCGCCUGGGGAGUACGCACGCAAGUGUGAAACUCAAAGGAAUUGACGGGGGCCCGCACAAGCGGUGGAGUAUGUGGUUUAAUUCGAUGCAACGCGAAGAACCUUACCAGGGUUUGACAUCCUGCGAACCCCUGAGAAAUCGGGGGGUGCCUUCGGGAGCGCAGAGACAGGUGGUGCAUGGCUGUCGUCAGCUCGUGUCGUGAGAUGUUGGGUUAAGUCCCGCAACGAGCGCAACCCACGUCUUUAGUUGCCAGCAUUCAGUUGGGCACUCUAGAGAGACCGCCGGUGAUAAACCGGAGGAAGGUGUGGAUGACGUCAAGUCAUCAUGCCCCUUACAUCCUGGGCUACACACGUACUACAAUGCUACGGACAAAGGGCAGCAAGUUCGCGAGAGUUAGCAAAUCCCAUAAACCGUGGCUCAGUUCAGAUCGUAGGCUGCAACUCGCCUACGUGAAGGAGGAAUCGCUAGUAAUCGCAGGUCAGCAUACUGCGGUGAAUACGUUCCCGGGCCUUGUACACACCGCCCGUCACACCAUGGAAGUUGGCCAUGCCCGAAGUCGUUACC
RNAcentral lists this ribosomal RNA (1378 nucleotides) under metagenome. RNAcentral's name for it is "bacterial SSU rRNA". It matches the Rfam family "Bacterial small subunit ribosomal RNA". The record is from RNAcentral.